GGUAAAUAUAAAUGUGGGUGCAUAAUAUAGACUUUUUCUGAAUGGUUUAUAAGUUGCAGUGCUGGGAUUACAAGCGUGAGCUACCACACCCAGCGAGGAAGCCAAGUUUAACGUGUGUGCUCCACUCCUCCAACCUGGCCAAAGGGCAGUCAUCAUCACUGGCCACUACUGACCACAGCCUUUAGAAACUCCCCUUGAACGUGCUGGGCUGACCUUCCUCUGAUCACAGGCAAGGCAAAGGAAAACGACAGGCCCUUGCCUUCCUGGUCCUCAAGGGUCAGCUGUAAGAUGAUGUCAUAAAGCCGGAUCAGGUCCUGGGGCCGGGGGAAGCACUUGCUGUCAUCCUCUGGCUGCUGCUGCAGCAGAGCCCUCUGCAGACCUUUGGCCAUGCUCUCAUUACGCUUGAUUGCCAUUGACAGCUUGAUGUAAGUCAGGUUGUAGAUGAGCAUGAGAGUGUGGAGCAGAGUCGGCGAGCGCAAGUCGAGCCCAUCAUCCUGGACAGCCGUCUCCGUGCCUUCCCCAGUGAGGAAGAGCUAGGGGAAGAUGAGAUGUACUACUGUUCCAAGUGUAAGACCCACUGCUUAGCAACAAAGAAGCUGGAUCUCUGGAGGCUUCCACCCUUCCUGUAGAGACGA
RNAcentral lists this long non-coding RNA (635 nucleotides) under Pan troglodytes (chimpanzee). Its description in RNAcentral is "long non-coding RNA NONPTRT006800". Lineage: Eukaryota; Metazoa; Chordata; Mammalia; Primates; Hominidae. The record is from RNAcentral.